Molecule: ribosomal RNA, 501 nt
Filed under: uncultured bacterium
Lineage: Bacteria
Description: partial 16S ribosomal RNA
Rfam family: Bacterial small subunit ribosomal RNA
Source: RNAcentral
AUUGAACGCUGGCGGCAGGCUUAACACAUGCAAGUCGAGCGGGGGAAGGUAGCUUGCUACUGGACCUAGCGGCGGACGGGUGAGUAAUGCUUAGGAAUCUGCCUAUUAGUGGGGGACAACAUCUCGAAAGGGAUGCUAAUACCGCAUACGUCCUACGGGAGAAAGCAGGGGAUCUUCGGACCUUGCGCUAAUAGAUGAGCCUAAGUCGGAUUAGCUAGUUGGUGGGGUAAAGGCCUACCAAGGCGACGAUCUGUAGCGGGGCUGAGAGGAUGAUCAGCCACAGUGGGACUGAGACACGGCCCAGACUCCUACGGGAGGCAGCAGUGGGGAAUAGUGGACAAUGGGGGGAACCCUGAUCCAGCCAUGCCGCGUGUUUGAAGAAGGCCUGAUGGUUGCAAAGCACUAUAAGCGAGGAGGAGGCUCUUUUGGUUAAAACCGAAUAUGAGUGGACGUUACUCGCAGAAUAAGCACCGGCUAACUCUGUGCCAGCAGCCGCCGUAA